Molecule: ribosomal RNA, 468 nt
Filed under: uncultured bacterium
Lineage: Bacteria
Description: partial 16S ribosomal RNA
Rfam family: Bacterial small subunit ribosomal RNA
Source: RNAcentral
GACGAACGCUGGCGGCGUGCUUAACACAUGCAAGUCGAACGGAAAGGCCCUGCUUUUGUGGGGUGCUCGAGUGGCGAACGGGUGAGUAACACGUGAGUAACCUGCCCUUGACUUUGGGAUAACUUCAGGAAACUGGGGCUAAUACCGGCUAGGAGCUCCUGCUGCAUGGUGGGGGUUGGAAAGUUUCGGCGUUUGGGGAUGGACUCGCGGCUUAUCAGCUUGUUGGUGGGGUAGUGGCUUACCAAGGCUUUGACGGGUAGCCGGCCUGAGAGGGUGACCGGCCACAUUGGGACUGAGAUACGGCCCAGACUCCUACGGGAGGCAGCAGUGGGGAAUAUUGCACAAUGGGCGGAAGCCUGAUGCAGCAACGCCGCGUGCGGGAUGACGGCCUUCGAGUUGUAAACCGCUUUCGCCUGUGACGAAGCGUGAGUGACGGUAAUGGGUAAAGAAGCACCGGCUAACUACGUG